GGUUAAGUUAGAAAGGGCGCACGGUGGAUGCCUUGGCACUAGGAGCCGAAGAAGGACGGGACUAACACCGAUAUGCUUUGGGGAGCUGUACGUAAGCGUUGAUCCAGAGAUUUCCGAAUGGGGGAACCCACUAUCUUUAGUCGGAUAGUAUCCUUACGUGAAUACAUAGCGUGAGGAAGGCAGACCCAGGGAACUGAAACAUCUAAGUACCUGGAGGAAGAGAAAGAAAAAUCGAUUUCCUGAGUAGCGGCGAGCGAAACGGAAAGAGCCCAAACCAAGAAGCUUGCUUCUUGGGGUUGUAGGACACUCUAUACGGAGUUACAAAAGAAAGUUAUAAAUGAAGCGGUCUGGAAAGGCCCGCCAAAGACGGUAACAGCCCGGUAGUUGAAAUGGCUUUCCCUCCAGAGUGGAUCCUGAGUACGGCGGAACACGUGAAAUUCCGUCGGAAUCCGGGAGGACCAUCUCCCAAGGCUAAAUACUCCCUAGUGACCGAUAGUGAACCAGUACCGUGAGGGAAAGGUGAAAAGCACCCCGGAAGGGGAGUGAAACAGUUCCUGAAACCGUGUGCCUACAAGUAGUUAGAGCCCGUUAAUGGGUGAUAGCGUGCCUUUUGUAGAAUGAACCGGCGAGUUACGAUUUGUUGCAAGGUUAAGCGGAAAAAGCGGAGCCGUAGCGAAAGCGAGUCUGAAUAGGGCGCAUAAGUAACAGGUCGUAGACCCGAAACCAGGUGAUCUACCCAUGUCCAGGAUGAAGGUAAGGUAAUACUUACUGGAGGUCCGAACCCACGCACGUUGAAAAGUGCGGGGAUGAGGUGUGGGUAGCGGAGAAAUUCCAAUCGAACUUGGAGAUAGCUGGUUCUCUCCGAAAUAGCUUUAGGGCUAGCCUCGAGGUAAAGAGUCAUGGAGGUAGAGCACUGUUUGGACUAGGGGCCCUUCUCGGGUUACCGAAUUCAGAUAAACUCCGAAUGCCAUGUACUUAUACUCGGGAGUCAGACUGCGAGUGAUAAGAUCCGUAGUCGAAAGGGAAACAGCCCAGACCACCAGUUAAGGUCCCCAAAUAUAUGUUAAGUGGAAAAGGAUGUGGGGUUGCUUAGACAACCAGGAUGUUGGCUUAGAAGCAGCCACCAUUGAAAGAGUGCGUAAUAGCUCACUGGUCGAGUGACCCCGCGCCGAAAAUGUACCGGGGCUAAACAUAUUACCGAAACUGUGGAUGAACCUCUUUAGAGGUUCGUGGUAGGAGAGCGUUCUAAGGGCGGUGAAGUCAGACCGGAAGGACUGGUGGAGCGCUUAGAAGUGAGAAUGCCGGUAUGAGUAGCGAAAGAAGGGUGAGAAUCCCUUCCACCGAAUAUCUAAGGUUUCCUGAGGAAGGCUCGUCCGCUCAGGGUUAGUCGGGACCUAAGCCGAGGCCGAUAGGCGUAGGCGAUGGACAACAGGUAGAGAUUCCUGUACCAGUGCUAAUUGUUUAACCGAUGGGGUGACACAGAAGGAUAGGGAAUCGCACGAAUGGAAAUGUGCGUCCAAGCAGUGAGUGUGAGAAGUAGGCAAAUCCGCUUCUCGCGAAGCAUGAGCUGUGAUGGGGAAGGAAAUUAAGUACGGAAGUUCCUGAUUUCACGCUGUCAAGAAAAGCCUCUAGGAAGAGUAGUACUGCCCGUACCGCAAACCGACACAGGUAGAUGAGGAGAGAAUCCUAAGGUGAGCGAGAGAACUCUCGUUAAGGAACUCGGCAAAAUGACCCCGUAACUUCGGGAGAAGGGGUGCUCUAUUAGGGUGCAAGCCCGAGAGAGCCGCAGUGAAUAGGCCCAGGCGACUGUUUAGCAAAAACACAGGUCUCUGCAAAACCGUAAGGUGACGUAUAGGGGCUGACGCCUGCCCGGUGCUGGAAGGUUAAGAGGAGUGCUUAGCUUCGG
Molecule: ribosomal RNA, 1906 nt
Filed under: Listeria monocytogenes
Lineage: Bacteria; Bacillati; Bacillota; Bacilli; Caryophanales; Listeriaceae
Description: partial 23S ribosomal RNA
Rfam family: Bacterial large subunit ribosomal RNA
Source: RNAcentral